CCCGCUAAUUUUAAGCAUAUCAAUAAGUGGAAGAAAAGAAACUUACAAGGACUCCCCUUGUAAUAGCGAGAGAAUUGGGAAGAGCCCAGCUUGAGAAUCGGGCGUCGUCGACUUCUAAAUUGUAGUCUAGAGAAGCAUCCUCAGUAGCAGAUCGGGCACAAGUCCCCUAGAAGGGGGCGCCAGAGAGGGUGAGAACCUCAUUCUACUCGAACCCUGUCACACCACGAGGCAUUGUCAACGCGUCGGGUUGUUUAGGAAUGCAGCCUCAAUCGGGUGGUAAAUUCUAUCCAAGGCUAAAUAUGGGCGAGAGACCGAUAGCAAACGAGUACCGCGAGGGAAAAAUAAAAAAGACCUUGAAAAGAGAGUCAAAUAGUGCUUGAAAUUGUCGAGAAGGAAGCGGAUGGAGGCCGACGAUGUACCCCAGUCGGAUGUAGAACGGUGACGAGCCGGUCCGCCAAUCAACUUAAGGCAUGGACCGAUGUGGAUUGAGAUGGCGGCCUAUGCCCAGGCCUUUGUUACGCCUGUGGAGACGUCGCCAUCCCGAUCGUGGUUGGCAGCUCGCGCCUUCUGGCAGGUUUCGACAUUUGCGCGCUCCUGGCAUCGGACUGUGGGCUCCCCAUUCGACCCGUCUUGAAACACAA
Molecule: non-coding RNA, 641 nt
Filed under: Cucumis melo (muskmelon)
Lineage: Eukaryota; Viridiplantae; Streptophyta; Magnoliopsida; Cucurbitales; Cucurbitaceae
Also listed under: 1 other name
Description: Eukaryotic large subunit ribosomal RNA
Rfam family: Eukaryotic large subunit ribosomal RNA
Source: Rfam by way of RNAcentral